This 483-nucleotide ribosomal RNA is filed under the name uncultured bacterium. RNAcentral's name for it is "partial 16S ribosomal RNA". It matches the Rfam family "Bacterial small subunit ribosomal RNA", at positions 30 to 506 of the family's 1533-position model. The record is from RNAcentral.
AUUGAACGCUGGCGGCAGGCCUAACACAUGCAAGUCGAACGGAUGAAGGGAGCUUGCUCCUGGAUUCAGCGGCGGACGGGUGAGUAAUGCCUAGGAAUCUGCCUGGUAGUGGGUGAUAACGUCCGGAAACGGGCGCUAAUACCGCAUACGUCCUGAGGGAGAAAGUGGGGGAUCUUCGGACCUCACGCUCUCAGAUGAGCCUAGGUCGGAUUAGCUAGUUGGUGGGGUAAAGGCCUACCAAGGCGACGAUCCGUAACUGGUCUGAGAGGAUGAUCAGUCACGCUGGAACUGAGACACGGUCCAGACUCCUACGGGAGGCAGCAGUGGGGAAUAUUGGACAAUGGGCGGAAGCCUGAUCCAGCCAUACCGCGUGGGUGAAGAAGGACUUCGGGUUGUAAAGCCCUUUUGUUGGGAAAGAAAAGCAGCAGGUUAAUACCCCGCUGUUCUGACGGUACCAAAAGAAUAAGCACCGGCUAACUGCGU